RNAcentral lists this ribosomal RNA (255 nucleotides) under uncultured bacterium. RNAcentral describes it as "partial 16S ribosomal RNA". It matches the Rfam family "Bacterial small subunit ribosomal RNA", at positions 524 to 776 of the family's 1533-position model. The record is from RNAcentral.
UACAGAGGGUGCGAGCGUUGUCCGGAAUCACUGGGCGUAAAGGGCGCGUAGGUGGUGGCUUAAGCGUGCGGUGAAAGCUCGGGGCUCAACUCCGAGUCGGCCGUGCGAACUGGGCUCACUGGAGCAUAGUAGAGGCAGGUGGAAUUCCGGGUGUAGCGGUGGAAUGCGUAGAGAUCCGGAAGAACACCGGUGGCGAAGGCGGCCUGCUGGGCUAUGGCUGACACUGAGGCGCGACGAGCGUGGGGAGCAAACAGG